Molecule: non-coding RNA, 87 nt
Organism: Gossypium hirsutum (cotton)
Lineage: Eukaryota; Viridiplantae; Streptophyta; Magnoliopsida; Malvales; Malvaceae
Source: Rfam
CACGUCAGCGCAACUUGCUGACGUAAAAUGAAAUCGUGUCCUUGAGGGCGCGAUUUCCUUCCACUUCAGCAAGUUGCGUUGACAUGG